GCAUGCGGCAGCUAUACAUGCAGUCGAGCGCAUGACGAGGAGCUUGCUCCUCUGAUUGAGCGGCGGACGGGUGAGUAACACGUGGGCAACCUGCCCUGUAGACGGGGAUAACUUCGGGAAACCGGAGCUAAUACCGGAUAAUCCUCUUCCCCACAUGGGGAAGAGUUGAAAGGCGCUUUCGCGUCACUACAGGAUGGGCCCGCGGUGCAUUAGCUAGUUGGUGGGGUAACGGCCUACCAAGGCGACGAUGCAUAGCCGACCUGAGAGGGUGAUCGGCCACAUUGGGACUGAGACACGGCCCAAACUCCUACGGGAGGCAGCAGUAGGGAAUCUUCCACAAUGGACGAAAGUCUGAUGGAGCAACGCCGCGUGAGUGAUGAAGGUUUUCGGAUCGUAAAACUCUGUUGUAAGGGAAGAACCAGUACGUCAGGCAAUGGACGUACCUUGACGGUACCUUAUUAGAAAGCCACGGCUAACUACGUGCCAGCAGCCGCGGUAAUACGUAGGUGGCAAGCGUUGUCCGGAAUUAUUGGGCGUAAAGCGCGCGCAGGUGGUUUCUUAAGUCUGAUGUGAAAGCCCACGGCUUAACCGUGGAGGGUCAUUGGAAACUGGGAGACUUGAGUGCAGAAGAGGAAAGUGGAAUUCCAAGUGUAGCGGUGAAAUGCGUAGAGAUUUGGAGGAACACCAGUGGCGAAGCGACUUUCUGGUCUGCAACUGACGCUGAGGCGCGAAAGCAUGGGGAGCAAACAGGAUUAGAUACCCUGGUAGUCCAUGCCGUAAACGAUGAGUGCUAAGUGUUAGGGGGUUUCCGCCCCUUAGUGCUGCAGCUAACGCAUUAAGCACUCCGCCUGGGGGAGUACGACCGCAAGGUUGAAACUCAAAGGAAUUUGACGGGGGCCCGCACAAGCGGUGGAGCAUGUGGUUUAAUUCGAAGCAACGCGAAGAACCUUACCAGUCUGACAUCCCGAUGACCGCUCUAGAAGAAUAGAGUUUUCCUUCGGGACAUGGUGACAGGUGGUGCAUGUGGUCGUCAGCUCGUGUCGUGAGAUGGUGGUAGUCCCGCAACGAGCGCCACCCAUAUCUAGUGCAUCAUUAGUGGUCACUCUAGUGACUGCGUGAUAAACCGGAGAAGGUGGGAUGACGUCAUCCAUGCCUUAGACCUGGCUACACAACGUGUCUACAUGGACGCGGUUCACAUGA
RNAcentral lists this ribosomal RNA (1200 nucleotides) under Rummeliibacillus stabekisii. RNAcentral describes it as "bacterial SSU rRNA". It matches the Rfam family "Bacterial small subunit ribosomal RNA", at positions 35 to 1247 of the family's 1533-position model. Lineage: Bacteria; Bacillati; Bacillota; Bacilli; Caryophanales; Caryophanaceae. The record is from RNAcentral.